RNAcentral lists this unclassified non-coding RNA (265 nucleotides) under Hevea brasiliensis (rubber tree). Lineage: Eukaryota; Viridiplantae; Streptophyta; Magnoliopsida; Malpighiales; Euphorbiaceae. The record is from RNAcentral.
UUUGUAUUCGUCUGAUAAUGAAGGUAAUAGGACGGUAGACAUGCAAAUUGAUAUAGAACCACGUGUUGAAUGACCAAUAAAAGAGGGCCAGAAUGAUACUUGUAAAAACGUACAAACACCUAAUGAUAUUAAAUCAAUUUGAUUUGGUCUUUGUUUAGCUAAUUUAAAGAAUCAUCAUUUGAUGUUUUCUCCAGCCCGCAUAUGUGAUUAUCAGCCCUUUAAGGUGCACACACUUAACAUUCUUCUAUCAAAUGAUGAUGUCAAG